This 109-nucleotide ribosomal RNA is filed under the name uncultured bacterium. RNAcentral describes it as "partial 16S ribosomal RNA". It matches the Rfam family "Bacterial small subunit ribosomal RNA", at positions 1365 to 1482 of the family's 1533-position model. The record is from RNAcentral.
AAUACGUUCCCGGACCUUGCACACGCCGCCCGUCAAGCCAUGGAAGCUGGGUGUACCUAAAGUCGAUAACCGCAAGGAGUCGCCUAGGGUAAAACUAGUAACUGGGGCU